GGGUUGUGAGGUUAAGCGACUAAGCGUACACGGUGGAUGCCCUGGCAGUCAGAGGCGAUGAAGGACGUGCUAAUCUGCGAAAAGCGUCGGUAAGGUGAUAUGAACCGUUAUAACCGGCGAUGUCCGAAUGGGGAAACCCAGUGCAAUUCGUUGCACUAUCGUUAACUGAAUACAUAGGUUAACGAGGCGAACCGGGGGAACUGAAACAUCUAAGUACCCCGAGGAAAAGAAAUCAACCGAGAUUCCCCCAGUAGCGGCGAGCGAACGGGGAGCAGCCCAGAGUCUGAAUCAGCUUGUGUGUUAGUGGAACGGUCUGGAAAGUCCGACGGUACAGGGUGAUAGUCCCGUACACCAAAAUGCACAGGUUGUGAACUCGAAGAGUAGGGCGGGACACGUGGUAUCCUGUCUGAAUAUGGGGGGACCAUCCUCCAAGGCUAAAUACUCCUGACUGACCGAUAGUGAACCAGUACCGUGAGGGAAAGGCGAAAAGAACCCCGGCGAGGGGAGUGAAAAAGAACCUGAAACCGUGUACGUACAAGCAGUGGGAGCACCUUCGGGUGUGACUGCGUACCUUUUGUAUAAUGGGUCAGCGACUUAUAUUCUGUAGCAAGGUUAACCGUAUAGGGGAGCCGCAGGGAAACCGAGUCUUAACUGGGCGUUAAGUUGCAGGGUAUAGACCCGAAACCCGGUGAUCUAGCCAUGGGCAGGUUGAAGGUUGGGUAACACUAACUGGAGGACCGAACCGACUAAUGUUGAAAAAUUAGCGGAUGACUUGUGGCUGGGGGUGAAAGGCCAAUCAAACCGGGAGAUAGCUGGUUCUCCCCGAAAGCUAUUUAGGUAGCGCCUCGUGAAUUCAUCUUCGGGGGUAGAGCACUGUUUCGGCUAGGGGGUCAUCCCGACUUACCAACCCGAUGCAAACUACGAAUACCGAAGAAUGUUAUCACGGGAGACACACGGCGGGUGCUAACGUCCGUCGUGAAGAGGGAAACAACCCAGACCGCCAGCUAAGGUCCCAAAGUCAUGGUUAAGUGGGAAACGAUGUGGGAAGGCACAGACAGCCAGGAUGUUGGCUUAGAAGCAGCCAUCAUUUAAAGAAAGCGUAAUAGCUCACUGGUCGAGUCGGCCUGCGCGGAAGAUGUAACGGGGCUAAACCAUGCACCGAAGCUGCGGCAGCGACACUAUGUGUUGUUGGGUAGGGGAGCGUUCUGUAAGCCUGCGAAGGUGUGCUGUGAGGCAUGCUGGAGGUAUCAGAAGUGCGAAUGCUGACAUAAGUAACGAUAAAGCGGGUGAAAAGCCCGCUCGCCGGAAGACCAAGGGUUCCUGUCCAACGUUAAUCGGGGCAGGGUGAGUCGACCCCUAAGGCGAGGCCGAAAGGCGUAGUCGAUGGGAAACAGGUUAAUAUUCCUGUACUUGGUGUUACUGCGAAGGGGGGACGGAGAAGGCUAUGUUAGCCGGGCGACGGUUGUCCCGGUUUAAGCAUGUAGGCUGAUUGUCCAGGCAAAUCCGGAUAAUCAAGGCUGAGGUGUGAUGACGAGGCACUACGGUGCUGAAGUAACAAAUGCCCUGCUUCCAGGAAAAGCCUCUAAGCAUCAGGUAACAUUAAAUCGUACCCCAAACCGACACAGGUGGUCAGGUAGAGAAUACCAAGGCGCUUGAGAGAACUCGGGUGAAGGAACUAGGCAAAAUGGUGCCGUAACUUCGGGAGAAGGCACGCUGGUGUGUAGGUGAAGUCCCUGCGGAUGGAGCUGAGACCAGUCGAAGAUACCAGCUGGCUGCAACUGUUUAUUAAAAACACAGCACUGUGCAAACACGAAAGUGGACGUAUACGGUGUGACGCCUGCCCGGUGCCGGAAGGUUAAUUGAUGGGGUUAUCCGUAAGGAGAAGCUCUUGAUCGAAGCCCCGGUAAACGGCGGCCGUAACUAUAACGGUCCUAAGGUAGCGAAAUUCCUUGUCGGGUAAGUUCCGACCUGCACGAAUGGCGUAAUGAUGGCCAGGCUGUCUCCACCCGAGACUCAGUGAAAUUGAACUCGCUGUGAAGAUGCAGUGUACCCGCGGCAAGACGGAAAGACCCCGUGAACCUUUACUAUAGCUUGACACUGAACAUUGAGCCUUGAUGUGUAGGAUAGGUGGGAGGCUUUGAAGCGUGGACGCCAGUCUGCGUGGAGCCAACCUUGAAAUACCACCCUUUAAUGUUUGAUGUUCUAACGUUGGCCCCUUACCGGGGUUGCGGACAGUGUCUGGUGGGUAGUUUGACUGGGGCGGUCUCCUCCCAAAGCGUAACGGAGGAGCACGAAGGUUAGCUAAUCCUGGUCGGACAUCAGGAGGUUAGUGCAAUGGCAUAAGCUAGCUUGACUGCGAGCGUGACGGCGCGAGCAGGUGCGAAAGCAGGUCAUAGUGAUCCGGUGGUUCUGAAUGGAAGGGCCAUCGCUCAACGGAUAAAAGGUACUCCGGGGAUAACAGGCUGAUACCGCCCAAGAGUUCAUAUCGACGGCGGUGUUUGGCACCUCGAUGUCGGCUCAUCACAUCCUGGGGCUGAAGUAGGUCCCAAGGGUAUGGCUGUUCGCCAUUUAAAGUGGUACGCGAGCUGGGUUUAGAACGUCGUGAGACAGUUCGGUCCCUAUCUGCCGUGGGCGCUGGAGAAUUGAGGGGGGCUGCUCCUAGUACGAGAGGACCGGAGUGGACGCAUCACUGGUGUUCGGGUUGUCAUGCCAAUGGCACUGCCCGGUAGCUAAAUGCGGAAGAGAUAAGUGCUGAAAGCAUCUAAGCACGAAACUUGCCCCGAGAUGAGUUCUCCCUGAGACUUUAAGUCUCCUGAAGGAACGUUAAAGACGAUGACGUUGAUAGGCCGGGUGUGUAAGCGCAGCGAUGCGUUGAGCUAACCGGUACUAAUGAACCGUGAGGCUUAACCUUACAACGCCGAAG
Molecule: ribosomal RNA, 2923 nt
Filed under: Klebsiella pneumoniae
Lineage: Bacteria; Pseudomonadati; Pseudomonadota; Gammaproteobacteria; Enterobacterales; Enterobacteriaceae
Description: 23S ribosomal RNA
Rfam family: Bacterial large subunit ribosomal RNA
Source: RNAcentral